UGUGUGUUAGUGGAAGCGUCUGGAAAGGCGCGCGAUACAGGGUGACAGCCCCGUACACAAAAAUGCACAUGCUGUGAGCUCGAUGAGUAGGGCGGGACACGUGGUAUCCUGUCUGAAUAUGGGGGGACCAUCCUCCAAGGCUAAAUACUCCUGACUGACCGAUAGUGAACCAGUACCGUGAGGGAAAGGCGAAAAGAACCCCGGCGAGGGGAGUGAAAAAGAACCUGA
RNAcentral lists this ribosomal RNA (228 nucleotides) under Escherichia coli. RNAcentral's name for it is "partial 23S ribosomal RNA". It matches the Rfam family "Bacterial large subunit ribosomal RNA", at positions 323 to 553 of the family's 2925-position model. Lineage: Bacteria; Pseudomonadati; Pseudomonadota; Gammaproteobacteria; Enterobacterales; Enterobacteriaceae. The record is from RNAcentral.